CCUACGGGAGGCAGCAGUGAGGAAUAUUGGUCAAUGGACGCAAGUCUGACCAGACAAGGAGAGUGAAGGAGGACAGACCUAGGGGUUGUAAACUUCUUUUAUAUGGGAAUAAAAUGUUCCACGUGUGGGAUUUUGUAUGUAACAUAUGAAUAAGGAACGGCUAACUCCGUGACAGCAGCCGCGGUAAUACGGAGGAUCCGAGCGUUAUCCGGAUUUAUUGGGUUUAAAGGGGGCGUAGGUGGAUUGUUAAGUUAGUUGUGAAAGUUUGCGGCUCAACCGUAAAAUUGCAGUUGAAACUGGCAGUCUUGAGUACAGUAGAGGUGGGCGGAAUUCGUGGUGUAGCGGUGAAAUGCUUAGAUAUCACGAAGAACUCCGAUUGCGAAGGCAGCUCACUGGACUGCAACUGACACUGAGGCUCGAAAGUGUGGGUAUCAAACAGGAUUAGAUACCCCAGUAGUC
RNAcentral lists this ribosomal RNA (459 nucleotides) under uncultured bacterium. RNAcentral describes it as "partial 16S ribosomal RNA". It matches the Rfam family "Bacterial small subunit ribosomal RNA", at positions 338 to 795 of the family's 1533-position model. The record is from RNAcentral.